Molecule: transfer RNA, 76 nt
Filed under: Cronobacter sakazakii
Lineage: Bacteria; Pseudomonadati; Pseudomonadota; Gammaproteobacteria; Enterobacterales; Enterobacteriaceae
Description: tRNA-Thr
Source: RNAcentral
GCUGAUAUGGCUCCGUUGGUAGAGCGCACCCUUGGUAUGGGCGGGGUCGCCAGUUGGGCAUAAGGUAUCAGCACCA